RNAcentral lists this unclassified non-coding RNA (458 nucleotides) under Hevea brasiliensis (rubber tree). Lineage: Eukaryota; Viridiplantae; Streptophyta; Magnoliopsida; Malpighiales; Euphorbiaceae. The record is from RNAcentral.
CCUUUUCACUCUUCUCUGUGUGUAUAGGGAGUGGGAGUCUCUGCCUAGGGACAGAAGAAAUAAAUGGUGUUGGGAAAAUAGCAUUAAUGCCAAAACCAUGCGGAGAUGCCAAGAAAGUGUGAAGGAACUGGAAAUUUGCCUUGAAAAGGAGCUUCAUGUUACUAUUCCAACAGACUGGCAUUGGAAUCCUCAUAAGUCUAGUGAGCAUGAUAAAAAUUUGAAACAGGCCAUACUCUCUGCACUUGCAGAAAAUGUAGCCAUGUACUCAGGUUGUGAUAAACUUGGUUAUCAAGUGGCAUUGACUGGAAAGCAUGUUCAGCUACAUCCAUCAUGUUCAUUGCUAAUAUUUGGUGAUAAGCCAAGUUGGGUUUUUUUUAUUGACUAAAUGUGGAUAGUAGUUUUUGGUCUGUGUUACUGCUUUUGACUUCGAAUCAUUGUGUAUGAUUUUUCCUCCUCCC